RNAcentral lists this long non-coding RNA (445 nucleotides) under Daucus carota (carrot). RNAcentral describes it as "long non-coding RNA (DCAR_LNC004269)". The record is from RNAcentral. Lineage: Eukaryota; Viridiplantae; Streptophyta; Magnoliopsida; Apiales; Apiaceae.
AAAUAUAUCAUAAUAUGGUAUGUAAAUAGUCCAUUCAACUAAAUCUUGGCUUGGGUGAGGUGUUUUACCCUGAAAGUGGCAUAAAAGAGGAGAGGAGAUCAUCAUCAUUGAAGACGAGCCGACUCGUCAAAGAGUGUUUAGGCAGCAGGGAGGUAUUGUUAUCAAGGAAAACUCUGAGGCUUUACAGGAAAGAAUUCGUCAUCGGCUGUUGGGAAAGGGAAAGCGAAAAUGUGCCCCGGAGAAAGCAGCAAGUUCUAGUCUGGUUGUUGAUCUUUGUUCAGAGUCUGGGAGUUUAGGUCAUUCUCAGUUUUCUUUUAGGGUUGCUAGUAGUGGUUUUGGUAGUUCUUUCUCUUCAGUUCAGUCUCUUGCAAGCGAUGGUUUUAUCUCCUUGUAUAGUUGUAUGUAGCCUGUCAAUGGACCGGAGCUCCGAUCCGAACCGGUUCGA